UCCUUGGUGGCUUAGUUAGUAAAGAAUCUGCCUGCAAUGCAGAAGACCCAGGUCUGACCCUGAAUAGGGAA
This 71-nucleotide transfer RNA is filed under the name Bos taurus (domestic cattle). It matches the Rfam family "tRNA". From Rfam's summary of the family: Transfer RNA (tRNA) molecules are approximately 80 nucleotides in length. Their secondary structure includes four short double-helical elements and three loops (D, anti-codon, and T loops). Lineage: Eukaryota; Metazoa; Chordata; Mammalia; Artiodactyla; Bovidae. The record is from Rfam by way of RNAcentral. RNAcentral also lists the same sequence under 4 other names.